Long non-coding RNA from Acanthopagrus latus (yellowfin seabream), 1402 nucleotides. RefSeq lists it as uncharacterized. Lineage: Eukaryota; Metazoa; Chordata; Actinopteri; Spariformes; Sparidae. The record is from RefSeq and is a predicted model, not a curated record. The transcript is spliced from 3 exons.
AUACAAAAAGCGUGAAAGGCCCAAUCUAGAGUCAGUGUUUGGUUUCUGGGCUAUUGCAGAAAGAUAGCAGACUCAAGGAGGAUUGUCAGAUCACAAAACACAAUGAUUCUUAGUUUCAGGUGAAUAUACACUAAAGGAAACAUUAAAAUAUUCAAUUUUUGGCCCAAAAUCCACUUUAAAACAUAUUUCACUGCUGCACUUAAGCAGCUACAGUAUUUACUUAUUAGGCAGAUUUAAUUGAUUAAUUUCCCCACAGGUCAAGGUGACACAUUCAAAUAACUUGCUCUGUCCAAUCAACAAAGGUACUGAGAUUACAAUUAAUGCUGCAACAAUCAAAUCGAUAAGCUAUCGACUAAUAAAUCAAUCGCUGACUAUUUUGAUAAUCGAUUGGUUGGUUUGAAGAAAAAAAAUUAGUCAAGAUAGUUUGAUCACGGCUUCGUAAAUGUGAAUCUCUUUUGUUUGUAACGCGACUGUUUGUAAUAGGGCCAUUAAGGGCUAAAUCUCGGGCUUUGGACACUGAUUGGCAUUUUAUAAAUUUAUUUUUUUAAAAACUAUCUUUGAAUCAUACCACAAAACCACUGACAUUCACGCUCGAUGGUUCAGCCUUUGACCCAACUGAAGCUAAAACGGUGUAACGUUUAAUACACGUUGCAGGAGAGACUUCUCGGGCAGGUAAAGGUACUUACAGCACUCUAACUCUGAGUGACCGAGAACAUUUUCUUCCAGCCGAAGCACCGGGAGUUUUUCCCAAGAUAGAGCAGAAGUAGCUGUCUAGAAAUUUAAUCAAGCUCAGGAAACGUUGAUGUGGGAUCCCUGCCUGGGAUAAACGCCGUCUGAGGGAUUGCCUCACUGUGGCGUUCCUCUCGCUGGGGCAGCCACAGUGGCGGCUGUGUUCAAAUUAUCCUCUCAGCCUUCUCCGCUGCCAGUAUACCACACACUGACACCACUCUCACCACCAGGAGAGUGAGCGCCUGGGCCGGCCUGUCAGUCUGCCUCUGCAAAGGUCACUCCUACAAAGAGCUGGAGGAGUUUGGACAUCAGCCAGGAACAGUCGGGGGGGAUGGACUGACAGCUAGAAACAACAGAGACAGUUGGAUGCCUGCGGCCGCUCUGACGUCAGCUGCCCCUGUUAAAGGCCAGGAGUUGAGAGGGAGCGACAGAGAGGACAGACAGCUUCGUCCCACGGUGACCUCCUCACCUCUGCUGAGGUGAUUGCAGUGUUGUGACGGGGUGAUCGCAGCACACCCAUGUUGCUCAUCUCACCGCUUUUGUGGGCGCGCUUCUCCUUCAGCUCAGGAAGACAAACACUCUCACCCGGCUGCUUUAUUUUCUUUGGUACUUCAGACCCUCAGUGAUGCCCCAUGAAAAACAAUGGCAUUAAACCAAUUAUUUGAAUUUUAAA